UUGCAGAGGCAUAGAUGAAGCAGCAGGUGUUGAAAUUGAAUAUAUGUAAGAAGGUCUAGAUGCUGGAUUGGGAUUGCUGUAGUAACCAGGAGUGGCUGCCCAUGGUGGAGGGGGGUAGCUAGAGGAGUACCGAGGAAAUUGAGGUUGUGGAUGAGGUUCUAGCUGAUGUUGAGGUCGAAAAUGGGAUUGAGGUUGUGGUUGUGGUUGUGAUGCCGCUUGUGAAUAUUGGGACGGGGGUUGAGGCUGGAAACCAGGCUGAGGUGGGAACUGUGGCUGAGAUUGGAGUCCGGGUUGAGGCUGUGGUUGAGCCCAGGGAGCUAUAUAACUGUUGAAGGCUGG
Molecule: long non-coding RNA, 339 nt
Filed under: Olea europaea (common olive)
Lineage: Eukaryota; Viridiplantae; Streptophyta; Magnoliopsida; Lamiales; Oleaceae
Description: long non-coding RNA (OEUR_LNC005411)
Source: RNAcentral